GGGAUUGCCUUAGUAACGGCGAGUGAAGCGGCAAUAGCUCAAAUUUGAAAGCUGGCCCCUUUGGGGUCCGCGUUGUAAUUUGUAGAGGAUGAUUCGGCGAGGGCUCCCGUCUAAGUCCCCUGGAACGGGGCGUCAUAGAGGGUGAGAAUCCCGUAUGUGAUGGGUUGCCUUAGCCAUGUGAAUCUCCUUCGACGAGUCGAGUUGUUUGGGAAUGCAGCUCUAAAUGGGAGGUAAAUUUCUUCUAAAGCUAAAUACCGGCCAGAGACCGAUAGCGCACAAGUAGAGUGAUCGAAAGAUGAAAAGCACUUUGGAAAGAGAGUUAAAAAGUACGUGAAAUUGUUGAAAGGGAAGCGCUUGCAGCCAGACUUGUCCGCAGUUGCUCAGCCGGUCUCCUGACCGGCGUACUCUUCUGCGGCCAGGCCAGCAUCAGUUCGGGCGGUCGGAUAAAGACCUCGGGAAUGUAGCUCCUCUCGGGGAGUGUUAUAGCCCGGGGUGGAAUGCGGCCAGCCUGGACUGAGGAUCUCGCUUCGGCUAGGAUGCUGGCGUAAUGGCUGUAAGCGGCCCGUCUUGAAACACGGACCAAGGAGUCUAACAUCUAUGCGAGUGUUUGGGUGUCAAACCCAUACGCGUAAUGAAAGUGAACGGAGGUGGGAACCCUCACGGGUGCACCAUCGACCGAUCCUGAUGUCUUCGGAUGGAUUUGAGUAUGAGCAUAGCUGUUGGGACCCGAAAGAUGGUGAACUAUGCCUGAAUAGGGUGAAGCCAGAGGAAACUCUGGUGGAGGCUCGCAGCGGUUCUGACGUGCAAAUCGAUCGUCAAAUUUGGGUAUAGGGGCGAAGA
RNAcentral lists this ribosomal RNA (840 nucleotides) under Otthia spiraeae. RNAcentral describes it as "eukaryotic LSU rRNA". It matches the Rfam family "Eukaryotic large subunit ribosomal RNA", at positions 71 to 929 of the family's 3401-position model. Lineage: Eukaryota; Fungi; Ascomycota; Dothideomycetes; Botryosphaeriales; Botryosphaeriaceae. The record is from RNAcentral.